GACUUAAUACUAUUAAAUAUUUCACCAAAUAAACUGCACCCUUUUUUCUCAUUUUUUUUUUUUAAAAAUCAUGUUGUUCGGGUCAGUUUGAACGCACCUCGACUAAUUUCACGGUAUAUCUGACGUCUCCCACCAGCAACAGGUACCAUGUAACUCUAUCCACCAAGACUUGCAUAGAUGAAAAGAAAUCACCUGAUCUAUUUUAACUCCGCGCUGGAAUUUGAAACUUAGACCUCAUGAUUCUCGCCCACUUUAUUAACCGCUCGGCCAGCCGGCCAGCCACACCCUUGAGUGCGGCAAACAAACUACACCCUCUCAUACUGUAAACCUCACAGCUACAACUUAUUAAUUGUUCCUCGUUUCAGUUUUAGCCUCCCCGACCCAUAUGAGUUAACACUCGGAUUUUCAUCAUGUAGAGCAUUCUACACCCAAAAUCAUAAAAGACUAGUUUUAAUAAAGAACAUCAGUAAGCAACUCACAAUAACUUGCAAAUAAACACCAAAAUCAGCAUAUACUAAAUAAUCAACAUUCAAGGACAAAAAUUAAUAGUUUCAAUGAACUGGAAAAGAAAGAAAGGUUAAUAUGUUGAUAUAAAUGGAUCUUUUAUAGGUGUAUAUGAACCUUAAAACUUCUGUAACUCAACGAUCGAACUGAGAAUAAAGAGCGACGACCAGAACCGGAGCUUUGACGGUAAACCUCGGAUGAUACCUCAAAUAGUAAACCUGAACAAAUCUCUUGAGUUACUUGAAGUUCUGCGACUAUUAUGAUUGAGAACACGGAAGAGAAGGCUACUAUGGUAGUUUCUGAAGGGUGGAGAAGAAAAUGUAAAAAAAUGACUGGGGUUU
RNAcentral lists this long non-coding RNA (845 nucleotides) under Nicotiana tabacum (common tobacco). RNAcentral's name for it is "long non-coding RNA (NTAB_LNC013336)". The record is from RNAcentral. Lineage: Eukaryota; Viridiplantae; Streptophyta; Magnoliopsida; Solanales; Solanaceae.